UAUAAGUUUGAUUCUUGCUUAUUUAUUAAUUAUCUCUAUAAUUAAUAUGGAUAUUUAAUAAAUUUAAAUAUUAUUCCAGUUAUUAAUAUUAUUAAUUAAGUGAAAGUUUAAUAUAGUAAUAGUUUUAUAAUAGGUUAAUAUUGUGCCAGCAUCCGCGGUUAUACAAUUUAUUAAUAUUAAUAUUUUAGGUUAUAUUAAAUUUUAUUAAUUUUUAGGAUUUACAUUUUUAAUAUUUAAGUGGAAUUUAUAUUCUUUAUAAUUUCUUAUAAUUUUUUAAUAAAUUUAUUUGAUAAACUAGGAUUAGAUACCCUAUUAUAAUUUACUUAAAUUUUGAUCUUGAAUAAUAUUAGUUAUGUUCUUUAAAACUCAAAGAAUUUGGCGGUGACUUAUUUUUUUAGAGGAAUCUGUAUAUUAAUUGAUAAACCACAAUAGUUUAUACUUUUUAAUUUAUUUGUAUAUCGCUAUAUACUUAAAUUUUUUGUAAGAAAUUUUUAUUUAUUAUUUAUAAGUUAAUGUUAGGUCAAGGUGCAGUUUUUAAGGAGUUUAUAUGGAUUACUAUAAUUUUUAAUAAAAAUUUUUAUAUUGGAUUGUUUUAAAAUUCUUAAUUAAAACAUGAAAUAGGAUUUAAUAGUAAAUUUUUUUAAUUAAAAGAUUUGAAUAUAACUCUAAGUCAUGUACAUAUCGCCCGUCACUCCUAAUUAAGUUAGGAUAAGUCGUAACAAAGUAAUUCUACCGGAAGGUGGAAUUAGUAGAUA
This 755-nucleotide non-coding RNA is filed under the name Fieberiella septentrionalis. Lineage: Eukaryota; Metazoa; Arthropoda; Insecta; Hemiptera; Cicadellidae. The record is from RNAcentral.